AAAAAGCAACUGCAGCAUUUUGAGGGACUGACUUGCCGGCUCGAAGUCUUCAGAGCUCCUCGAACAGCGUGUUCGCUGCGUGUGCGUGUGUGUGUCUCCGCACCAGCAAGCGAAAUUCUACUGCCAUUCUCCAAGACUCCUGGACAGAGACAAGGGUGACCAAAAGGUCCAGCUGGCCUAAAUCCAAUGUUUCUGAACUGUGAACCAAUUUGGCAAAUCCUCCAUUCAUUCUAUCAUGACUCAGCAUUGCAAACCUCACAUAGCCAGUAAAGAUUUGUCAUCUCUCAAAAGGAAAGAAAAGAAAGAAAAACAGCAUCCUGACGGAAGUUUAUUUGUUAUUCUUGUCAAAAUUAUCAGUGUUCUAUAUGAAAAUUCUGGCCAAGUCACUUUUGCACCAGACAAGAAAUGGCCUAGCAAGUCAUUUUCAGUACUUCUUUCCUUCUCCAUCACUGUCCUUGGGGGAAAAGGAGGCACAUUAGCGCCCAAUACCUGCACCAGGAGCCAAGUCUUACAGGUAAGAUGACUCCCAUGGCAGGUGGAGAAGCCCAGGAGCCAGCUGGGUAUGGGUGCAUCUAAAUGUACUGUCCCUGGGAUGGUCAGAUAUUUGGAUAGUUUGGGAACAUCCUAUAACAUUUGUGUGGAUACUCCCUAAGUUAUGUUUCUUC
RNAcentral lists this long non-coding RNA (665 nucleotides) under Salvator merianae (Argentine black and white tegu). Its description in RNAcentral is "lncRNA (ENSSMRG00000003678.1)". The record is from RNAcentral. Lineage: Eukaryota; Metazoa; Chordata; Lepidosauria; Squamata; Teiidae.